UAGGCGGCAUCCGAAAAGCCCUUAACAGAGUAGGAA
Molecule: non-coding RNA, 36 nt
Submitted as: unclassified sequences
Source: Rfam